GAUGAACGCUGGCGGCGUGCCUAAUACAUGCAAGUCGAGCGAACUUUUGGGAGCUUGCUCCCAAAAGUUAGCGGCGGACGGGUGAGUAACACGUGGGUAACCUGCCUGUAAGACUGGGAUAACUUCGGGAAACCGGAGCUAAUACCGGAUAACAUUGAAGACUACAUGGCCUUCAAUUAAAAGGUGGCUUUUAGCUACCACUUACAGAUGGACCCGCGGCGCAUUAGCUAGUUGGUGAGGUAACGGCUCACCAAGGCGACGAUGCGUAGCCGACCUGAGAGGGUGAUCGGCCGCACUGGGACGGAGACACGGCCCAGACUCCUACGGGAGGCAGCAGUAGGGAAUCUUCCGCAAUGGGCGGAAGUCUGACGGAGCAACGCCGCGUGAGCGAAGAAGGCCUUCGGGUCGUAAAGCUCUGUUGUUAGGGAAGAACAAGUAUCGUUCGAAUAGGGCGGUACAUUGACGGUACCUAACCAGAAAGCCACGGCUAACUACGUG
Molecule: ribosomal RNA, 498 nt
Filed under: uncultured bacterium
Lineage: Bacteria
Description: partial 16S ribosomal RNA
Rfam family: Bacterial small subunit ribosomal RNA
Source: RNAcentral